UCCAAUUUAACAACUUUGAUAACCUUUCCAAAGGAAGCUACGACAUAAUAAUAAUAAUAAUCUCCCUACUUCUGUUAUGCAUACCGCCAAUCAGCCGGCCGGUAUGGCAAAUUAGCUUUAUGCAUAUGUGCCAAUUAUUCCAUCUUUCCGGACAGGUCCAAGAAUGCAACCCCACUCUGGAAUUAUGCAUUACUUAUAGCCCCUCACCGUACAGCUUAUGCAAAUCAGGCUCAAGUUUUUUCCCCAUCUCUUGCAAUCCACCAAAUCGUCCUGAGCUGGUUUGUCUUGGAGAAUUUAUUACUUUACAAAAUCUCCCAAUCUACACCACCUUACAACCUCACAUCACAAUCAGCAAAAACCCUUUUCUUCGUAAGUGUGUUAUUUUUCUUUUUGCACGUUUUUCGAGUCUUUUCUUUUUUUUCUUUUUACAAGAAGAUGAAAGGUCCUGAGGUGGGGGGUCACAGAGAAGUGGAAUGGGGAACUAUUAGCAGUUAGAGAAAGUACGUAGCUUCCUGGAACCAGCAGAUUUCUGUCUAUCAUGAUUUCGUCA
Molecule: long non-coding RNA, 550 nt
Organism: Ricinus communis (castor bean)
Lineage: Eukaryota; Viridiplantae; Streptophyta; Magnoliopsida; Malpighiales; Euphorbiaceae
Exons: 2
Source: RefSeq, a predicted model, not a curated record